RNAcentral lists this long non-coding RNA (1137 nucleotides) under Daucus carota (carrot). Its description in RNAcentral is "long non-coding RNA (DCAR_LNC004951)". The record is from RNAcentral. Lineage: Eukaryota; Viridiplantae; Streptophyta; Magnoliopsida; Apiales; Apiaceae.
GACAACAGAUGCCUACACAAAUGCCUACUCAGCAACAACUGCAGCAGCUGCAGCAGAUGAAAGGGUUUCAAGAUAUGAAGCUGCCCCCUCAGUUUAAGGACAUGAAGAUGCCUGCUUCUUUUGGGAAGGAUCCGAACCAGAAGGCGAUGAAGUUUAAUUUGCCGGAGGAUGAUGAUUUUAGUGAUGAUUACGACGAUGAGGAUGAUUAUGAUGAUGAGGAUGAUUAUGAUGAUGAUGAUCUAGAUGAUCUAGAUGAUGAUUUGGAUGAUGCUCCUCCACUUAAUAAGAUGAAACCUAUGAUGAAUCAAGGUGGGGGUGGGCAGAUGCCUCCGAAUAUGAUGAUGAGCGGGAUGAAGCCUGGCCAGCUUCCGCCACACCUCAUGAAAGGUCCUCCUCCUGGUGGUAAUAACGGUGGAAAUGGUGGCGGAAAUGGCAAGAAAGGUGGUGGGGGAAAUAUUCCUGUUCAGAUGAAUGCUAAUGGUGGAAAGAAAGGUGGUGCUGGGGGCGGAAAUAAUGGAGGCAAUCAGAACGGAGGGGGUGGGCCACCCAAGAAUGGCAGCGGCAAGCCUAAUGGUGGUGGUGGAGGUGGGGGAGCAGGUGGUGGUCAAUUCAAGAAUGGCGGAGGAGGUGGUGGACCUCCUGGUGGUAACAAUAUGAAUGGCAAUGGAGAAAAAAAGGUUAUGAUGAAUCAGGGUGGUCAUGUUAUGCCUAACAUGAUGGGCAUGAGUGGUAGUGGUGGUAGUAGUUUAGGCCACAUUGGUGGUAUGCCUAUGGGUCAGAUGGGUCAAAUGGGUAACAUGCCUAUGGGCCAGAUGAGUAAUAUGCAAGCAGCAGCUGUUCAAGGCCUUCCUGCUGCGGCGAUGAAUGGUGGUGCUCCUGGCGGAUACUUCCCAGGUGCUGGUGGCCCUCAAGCAAUGGGCGGAAACCCCUACUACCAGCCACAAAUGGCAGCAAUGAUGUAUGCAAGGCCACCUCCGGCCGUGAACUACAUGCCCCCCCAUCCUUACUAUCCAUACCAUCCUCCCCCUUCUGAUCCCUACACCAACUACUUCAAUGAUGAAAACACUUCGAGCUGCAAUGUUAUGUGAGUUCAUCGCGACAAGUUCAUCCCCUGGGCCUAAAGGUUUCUAAUUUUGG